AUUGAACGCUGGCGGCAUGCCUAACACAUGCAAGUCGAACGGAGCGGCAGUGGGGUGCGUAAUACCUAGGAGUCUGCCUGGUGGUGGGGGAUAACGUCCGGCAACGGGCGCUAAUACCUCAUACUAUCACAUGAGACUAGGUCGGAUUCGCGAGUGGGUGGGGUAAAGGCCUACCAAGGCGACGAUCCGUAACUGGUCUGAGAGGAUGAUCAGUCACACUGGAACGGAAAAACGGUCCAGACGCCUACGGGAGGAAGCAGUGGGGAAUAUUGGAAAAGGGGCGAAAGCCUGAGCCAGACAUGCCGCGUGUGUGAAGAAGGCUUCCGGAUUGUAAAGUACUUUAAGUGGGGAGGCGUUACCAACAGAAUAAGCACCGGCUAACUACGUGCCAGCAGCCGCGGUAAUUC
This 407-nucleotide ribosomal RNA is filed under the name uncultured bacterium. Its description in RNAcentral is "partial 16S ribosomal RNA". It matches the Rfam family "Bacterial small subunit ribosomal RNA", at positions 30 to 526 of the family's 1533-position model. The record is from RNAcentral.